RNAcentral lists this ribosomal RNA (253 nucleotides) under uncultured bacterium. RNAcentral's name for it is "partial 16S ribosomal RNA". It matches the Rfam family "Bacterial small subunit ribosomal RNA", at positions 524 to 776 of the family's 1533-position model. The record is from RNAcentral.
UACAGAGGGUGCGAGCGUUAAUCGGAAUUACUGGGCGUAAAGCGUGCGUAGACGGUUACGUAAGUCGGGUGUGAAAGCCCCGGGCUCAACCUGGGAAUUGCAUUCGAGACUGCGCAGCUAGGGUGCGGAAGAGGGAAGCGGAAUUUCCGGUGUAGCGGUGAAAUGCGUAGAUAUCGGAAGGAACAUCAGUGGCGAAGGCGGCAUCCUGGACCGGUAUUGACGCUGAGGCGCGAAAGCCAGGGGAGCAAACGGG